Otolemur garnettii (small-eared galago) is the source of this 124-nucleotide non-coding RNA. The record is from Rfam. Lineage: Eukaryota; Metazoa; Chordata; Mammalia; Primates; Galagidae.
GUCUACGGCCAUACCACCCUGAACGCGCCCGAUCUCGUCUGAUCUCGGAAGCUAAGCAGGGUCGGGCCUGGUUAGUACUUGGAUGGGAGAAAGUACAUCCCCAGCAAGUCUCUAGAAAUAGAAA